CCUACGGGAGGCAGCAGUAGGGAAUUUUGCGCAAUGGGGGAAAGCCUGACGCAGCAACACCGCGUGAAUGUCAAGCCCUUCGGGGUGUAAAGUUCUGUCAAUAGGGACGACUUUUGCCUGUACGUAUACAGGAAGCACCGGCUAACUCCGUGCCAGCAGCCGCGGUUAUACGGGGGGUGCCAGCGUUGUCCGGAAGCUUUGGGCGUAAAGCGUUUGUAUGCGGUAUGUCAAGUCUGAUGUUAAAGUCCUGGGUUCAACUCCGGGUCGGCAUUUGAUACUGGCAAACUAGAAUGGGGUAGAGGUAAAGGGAAUGCCUGGUGUAGCGGUGAAAUGCGUAGAUAUCGGGAAGAACAUCGGUGGCGAAAGCGCUUUACUGGACGAUUAUUGACGCUGAGGAACGAAAGCCAGGGGAGCGAAUGGGAUUAGAUACCCGAGUAGUC
RNAcentral lists this ribosomal RNA (440 nucleotides) under uncultured bacterium. Its description in RNAcentral is "partial 16S ribosomal RNA". It matches the Rfam family "Bacterial small subunit ribosomal RNA", at positions 338 to 795 of the family's 1533-position model. The record is from RNAcentral.